Octodon degus (degu) is the source of this 642-nucleotide long non-coding RNA. RefSeq lists it as uncharacterized. The record is from RefSeq and is a predicted model, not a curated record. The transcript has 3 exons. Lineage: Eukaryota; Metazoa; Chordata; Mammalia; Rodentia; Octodontidae.
CAGGCACAGAGCCUGGAAGCAGGUCAGGAGAGCUGAGAGGAACUUUGGAAAUGCUUCACCAUGAUGCCAGGUUUCACAAACGGGGAAACUGAGGCCAAGAGGAGAGACAGGACUUGCCUAUGACUACCCGACUCCCUGGUAGAAAUGUUCCUGUCUCCCAGCUAGAAAUCUCUUCUAACCAUUUGCCCAGCACCAAGACUGUUCCAUACCUGGGAGUUCUCUGCUCCGACUCUCGUCUCUCCCACCACAUCAUGGUCUCCUCAAAGGAACCAAUAGUGAGAAAGGCCUGACCCUGAAGCGGGUGUUCUAGCAGCACCUGCCUGGCUCCAAUUCUCUCCCUUCACACUGGAGGGGAGGCAGCAGGGCAGAGUGACUAAGAGGCCGGCUGACUUCUGUUCAAAUCCUGAGCUCGCCACUGCAGUCUGGGGACUCUGUGACUCCCUUUGGCUGUCAGAGACUCAUGUGCUUCCCCUGUAAAAUGGGCCCAACAGCACCGUCCCAUCUAUCCAGAGGAGUCAAUCAGGAUCAACUAAGCGUCUGACGAGCCAGCCUCACAGAGCCCGAAGCCUUCGAAGGAAGCCAGGCUUUCGAGGAUGUGUGAGGCCUGGGGAAUUCAUUUGUUUCAAAUAACAGUCAAUGAGA